This 410-nucleotide ribosomal RNA is filed under the name uncultured bacterium. RNAcentral describes it as "bacterial SSU rRNA". It matches the Rfam family "Bacterial small subunit ribosomal RNA", at positions 402 to 809 of the family's 1533-position model. The record is from RNAcentral.
UGCAGGAUGACGGUCCUAUGGAUUGUAAACUGCUUUUGUACGGGAAGAAACACUCCUUCGUGAAGGAGCUUGACGGUACCGUAAGAAUAAGGAUCGGCUAACUCCGUGCCAGCAGCCGCGGUAAUACGGAGGAUCCAAGCGUUAUCCGGAAUCAUUGGGUUUAAAGGGUCCGUAGGCGGUCUUGUAAGUCAGUGGUGAAAGCCCAUCGCUCAACGGUGGAACGGCCAUUGAUACUGCAGGACUUGAAUUAUUGGGAAGUAACUAGAAUAUGUAGUGUAGCGGUGAAAUGCUUAGAGAUUACAUGGAAUACCAAUUGCGAAGGCAGGUUACUACCAAUUGAUUGACGCUGAUGGACGAAAGCGUGGGUAGCGAACAGGAUUAGAUACCCUGGUAGUCCACGCCGUAAACGA